Molecule: long non-coding RNA, 334 nt
Organism: Temnothorax curvispinosus
Lineage: Eukaryota; Metazoa; Arthropoda; Insecta; Hymenoptera; Formicidae
Exons: 3
Source: RefSeq, a predicted model, not a curated record
AGGCUGGAGGAGAAAAUUAGUGUUUACGCGAGUGCAAAGAAUACAUGCCGCGAGACAGGACACGAUAAGACGUCCAAAAGCGCCGCGCUAUCAACCACCGCCACGAAACGUCGUCGUCGUCGUCAUCAUUGUCUUCCCGUUGACUUCCUCGAUUAGAUCAGAAUACUGAAAUUUGACUAAUGCCGUUACCAACCGACAUGGAAGCGAAAUUGCUGCGCCAAAUAGUUCUUGCAGGUAUGGCGGAUCUAAAAGAGGAUCAGGAUAAGGCCAAGUGGAAACAUGCUUUAGAGGUUAGGUAUGAACACCAUCAGAAAUGGAGGAACCUGUGUUCAUG